This 76-nucleotide transfer RNA is filed under the name Gluconobacter oxydans. Its description in RNAcentral is "tRNA-Ala". It matches the Rfam family "tRNA". From Rfam's summary of the family: Transfer RNA (tRNA) molecules are approximately 80 nucleotides in length. Lineage: Bacteria; Pseudomonadati; Pseudomonadota; Alphaproteobacteria; Acetobacterales; Acetobacteraceae. The record is from RNAcentral. RNAcentral also lists the same sequence under 2 other names.
GGGCCGUUAGCUCAGCAGGGAGAGCGUCGCGAUGGCAUUGCGAAGGUCGCCGGUUCGACCCCGGCACGGUCCACCA